RNAcentral lists this ribosomal RNA (567 nucleotides) under uncultured bacterium. RNAcentral's name for it is "bacterial SSU rRNA". It matches the Rfam family "Bacterial small subunit ribosomal RNA", at positions 9 to 619 of the family's 1533-position model. The record is from RNAcentral.
CGAGUUUGAUCAUUGCUCAGAACGAACGCUGGCGGCAGGCUUAAUACAUGCAAGUCGAACGGCUGUAGCAAUACAGCAGUGGCAGACGGGUGAGUAACACGUGGGAACCUACCUAGGGGUACGGAAUAACUCAGGGAAACUUGUGCUAAUACCGUAUACGACCUCAGGGUGAAAGAUUUAUCGCCCCUAGAUGGGCCCGCGCUGGAUUAGCUAGUUGGUGGGGUAAAAGCCUACCAAGGCGACGAUCCAUAGCUGGUCUGAGAGGAUGGUCAGCCACACUGGGACUGAGACACGGCCCAGACUCCUACGGGAGGCAGCAGUAGGGAAUCUUGGACAAUGGGCGAAAGCCUGAUCCAGCCAUGCCGCGUGAGUGAUGAAGGCCUUAGGGUUGUAAAGCUCUUUCGCCAGGGAAGAUAAUGACGGUACCUGGAUAAGAAGCCCCGGCUAACUUCGUGCCAGCAGCCGCGGUAAUACGAAGGGGGCUAGCGUCGUUCGGAAUUACUGGGCGUAAAGCGCACGUAGGCGGCAUUCCAACUUGGAGGUGAAAUCCCCGGGCUUACCCUGGGA